RNAcentral lists this ribosomal RNA (497 nucleotides) under uncultured bacterium. RNAcentral describes it as "partial 16S ribosomal RNA". It matches the Rfam family "Bacterial small subunit ribosomal RNA", at positions 28 to 507 of the family's 1533-position model. The record is from RNAcentral.
GAUGAACGCUGGCGGCGUGCCUAAUACAUGCAAGUCGAGCGAACAGAUGAGGAGCUUGCUCCUCUGACGUUAGCGGCGGACGGGUGAGUAACACGUGGAUAACCUACCUAUAAGACUGGGAUAACUUCGGGAAACCGGAGCUAAUACCGGAUAAUAUAUUGAACCGCAUGGUUCAAUAGUGAAAGACGGUUUUGCUGUCACUUAUAGAUGGAUCCGCGCCGCAUUAGCUAGUUGGUAAGGUAACGGCUUACCAAGGCAACGAUGCGUAGCCGACCUGAGAGGGUGGUCGGCCACACUGGAACGGAGACACGGUCCAGGCUCCUACGGGAGGCAGCAGUAGGGAAUCGUCCGCAAUGGGCGAAAGCCUGACGGAGCAACGCCGCGUGAGUGAUGAAGGUCUUCGGAUCGUAAAACUCUGUUAUUGGGGAAGAACAAAUGUGUAAGUAACUAUGCACGUCUUGACGGUACCUAAUCAGAAAGCCACGGCUAACUACGUG